Molecule: ribosomal RNA, 437 nt
Filed under: uncultured bacterium
Lineage: Bacteria
Description: bacterial SSU rRNA
Rfam family: Bacterial small subunit ribosomal RNA
Source: RNAcentral
UGGGGAAUAUUGCGCAAUGGGCGAAAGCCUGACGCAGCGACGCCGCGUGGGGGAUGAAGCAUCUCGGAGUGUAAACCCCUUUCGACCCGGACGAAACGCCCGCAAGGGCUUGACGGUACGGGUAUAAGAAGCCCCGGCUAACUACGUGCCAGCAGCCGCGGUAAGACGUAGGGGGCCAGCGUUGCUCGGAAUUACUGGGCGUAAAGGGUUCGUAGGCGGUGCGGUAAGUCGGGAGUGAAAUCUCUGGGCUCAACUCAGAGGCUGCUACCGAAACUGUCGUGCUUGAGUGCGGGAGAGGCCAGUGGAAUUGCAGGUGUAGCGGUGAAAUGCGUAGAUAUCUGCAGGAACACCCGUGGCGAAGGCGGCUGGCUGGACCGCAACUGACGCUGAGGAACGAAAGCUAGGGGAGCAAACAGGAUUAGAUACCCGUGUAGUCC